CGGAACGGGUGAGUAACGCGUGAGGAACCUGCCUCAAAGAGGGGGACAACAGUUGGAAACGACUGCUAAUACCGCAUAAGCCCACGGCUCGGCAUCGAGCAGAGGGAAAAGGAGUGAUCCGCUUUGAGAUGGCCUCGCGUCCGAUUAGCUAGUUGGUGAGGUAACGGCCCACCAAGGCAACGAUCGGUAGCCGGACUGAGAGGUUGAACGGCCACAUUGGGACUGAGACACGGCCCAG
Molecule: ribosomal RNA, 238 nt
Filed under: uncultured bacterium
Lineage: Bacteria
Description: partial 16S ribosomal RNA
Rfam family: Bacterial small subunit ribosomal RNA
Source: RNAcentral